GGAAACUAUACUCAGGAUUCUUAAAAUAUACAGAUAGGUACGUGUGAGAAUUUAAAUCACUUCCAAGUUCCAUCUAUAUCUCAGUCUUAGGAAAUCAGAAAAUCCUCAUCUACAUUAUCUCUUAAAGGAUGUUAAUCAGAACCUUCUACUGAAAUUACAUUAUUAUUGGUCUUUAGCUUUAUCCUUUAGAACACUGUUCUUAGGCACUACUCCGCCAUAUACCUUUGCUUUUAUACAC
Molecule: long non-coding RNA, 238 nt
Filed under: Panax ginseng (ginseng)
Lineage: Eukaryota; Viridiplantae; Streptophyta; Magnoliopsida; Apiales; Araliaceae
Description: long non-coding RNA (PGIN_LNC014825)
Source: RNAcentral